RNAcentral lists this ribosomal RNA (29 nucleotides) under Cortinarius vanduzerensis. Its description in RNAcentral is "partial 18S ribosomal RNA". Lineage: Eukaryota; Fungi; Basidiomycota; Agaricomycetes; Agaricales; Cortinariaceae. The record is from RNAcentral. RNAcentral also lists the same sequence under 20 other names.
UCAGUAGGUGACCUGCGGAAGGAUCAUUA